Molecule: ribosomal RNA, 229 nt
Filed under: uncultured bacterium
Lineage: Bacteria
Description: partial 16S ribosomal RNA
Rfam family: Bacterial small subunit ribosomal RNA
Source: RNAcentral
CGCGUAGGCUGUCCUGUAAGCGGUGUGUGAAAGCCCGGGGCUCAACCCCGGAACUGCAUACCGAACUGCAGGGCUAGAGGACGAGAGGGGAGUAUGGAACUCUAGGUGGAGCGGUGAAAUGCGUAGAUAUCUAGAGGAACGCCGGUGGCGAAAGCGAUACUCUGGCUCGUCCCUGAUGCUGAGGCGCGAAAGCGUGGGUAGCAAACAGGAUUAGAUACCCUGGUAGUCC